Molecule: RNA transcript, 6460 nt
Organism: Rattus rattus (black rat)
Lineage: Eukaryota; Metazoa; Chordata; Mammalia; Rodentia; Muridae
Gene: Pex19
Gene name: peroxisomal biogenesis factor 19
Exons: 9
Source: RefSeq, a predicted model, not a curated record
UCCACCUCCUACGGCAAGUCGGAGGCAGCAAGAUGGCGGCUGCUGAAGGAGGUUGCGGUGCUGGGGUCGAAGCGGACCGGGAAUUGGAGGAGCUUUUGGAAAGUGCUCUUGAUGAUUUUGAUAAAGCCAAACCCUCCCCAGCACCCUCUCCUACCAUCUCGACCCCCGAUGCUUCAGGGCCCCAGAAGAGAUCGCCAGGAGACACUGCCAAAGAUGCUCUCUUUGCCUCCCAAGAGAAAUUUUUCCAGGAACUGUUCGACAGUGAGCUGGCUUCCCAAGCGACCGCAGAGUUUGAGAAGGCAAUGAAGGAGCUGGCUGAGGAAGAGCCCCAUCUGGUGGAGCAGUUCCAGAAGCUCUCAGAGGCAGCUGGGAGAGUGGGCAGCGAUGCAAGUUCUCAACAAGAAUUUACUUCUUGCCUAAAGGAGACAUUAAGUGGGCUAGCCAAAAAUGCCACUGACCUUCAGAACGCAGGCAUGUCUGAAGAAGAACUGACGAAAGCCAUGGAAGGGCUGGGCAUGGAUGAAGGAGACGGGGAAGGGAACAUUCUCCCCAUCAUGCAGAGCCUCAUGCAGAACCUCUUGUCUAAGGAUGUGUUGUAUCCAUCCCUGAAGGAGAUCACCGAAAAGUAUCCAGAAUGGCUACAGAGUCACCAGGAGUCUAUUCCCCCAGAGCAAUUUGAGAAGUAUCAGCAGCAGCACAGUGUCAUGGGCAAAAUCUGCGAGCAGUUCGAGGCGGAGACGCCCACAGACAGCGAGGCUACUCACAGGGCUCGCUUUGAGGCGGUACUCGAUCUUAUGCAGCAGUUACAGGACUUGGGCCACCCUCCAAAAGAGCUGGCUGGGGAGAUGCCUCCUGGCCUCAACUUUGACCUGGAUGCCCUCAAUCUAUCGGGCCCACCAGGUGCUAAUGGCUUAACAGUGUCUGAUCAUGUGAAACACAACACGGUUUCCUCCCUGAGUCCCAGCCAUGGGGAACAUCUGGAAUCAACAGAGUCACUGGGAACUGAGGCAGGAAUAUCAUCCGUGGGAGCUGCUGCCCCACACUCUCUACAUCCCAUUCAAGACUGUGCCAUACCAGCUGAGGACCUGUUGUAGGCCUUUUCUAUGAGCCCUACUCCAUUAUGGUGUCUGCUGUUAGAAAUGGGCCAAUUAUUUGCUAGGUGAAGGAAGGCACCCCUUGUGGGGCAUUUUACUUCUUCCCACUCUCCAAAAUAAUGUUACAUGUGGUGGUACUCAUGUUCCCCUUGAUUCCCAGGGACUUUGUGCCUUGUUUCUACUCCCUCCCUUGUGUCUGGGAGCAAGAGCUAAGUCCUAAGACUGCGCUUCUCUUAGGCAGGGCCUCUGGGAAUGAGGAGAAAGGUAGCCUGGGUGGGGCUGGAGGCUUGUCACAGUAUCUCCUAGCCUUCUUUUGGAAUUCUCCAAAGGGAAAGGAAUUUUGCACUUAGUCAGCAGGUUGAAAGCAAAGCCUUGGGCAUUUCCUGUCCCUAGGUGCUUCGCCCUAAUUCCCCUUUCCUCCUGAGAGCUCAAGUUGCUACCCUGGUUCUUUCUACAACUCCAUGAUUUAGGGGACCCCGGCUCUUGACUUUGCUUUGCCCCGUGACUAUCCUUACCUCCUCUCUUUAGAGUCUUAUUUAUUCCGCUCUUUUUAACUAGGGCUGUGAUGGAUGGAGGCCAAUCUUGUUUCCUUUCAUCUAGUACCUGGACCAUUCUCACUAGACCCUUCUCUGCCUCUUUGGCCAACACAUACUUGUCAGAUCUGGUACAUGAAUGGCCAUUCUACCCAGAUAGAUUUUGGCUUAUUUAAGACAUCAGAUUCCCUAGAAUCCUUGGUUCAGGAAGGCGCUUGGGAAAGGGGUGUAGCCAGAUUCUUUUUUUUCCUGCAAGCCCCAUGGGGCAGUGUCCAAUAAAUAUUCUGAGCGAGCGUGUGGGCUAUUUUUCAUCCAGGUCUAUUCUACUCUUCCUCAGUUUGUGUAGGCUGCUAGGGAAGAGUGAGAGAUAACAGAAGAGUUGUGUGUGGUGGUGAUGUUAGGUCUGCCACGACCCAGCCCUCCCGCUCAGGUUGCACUUUCAGCAAAAGAAUACUGUCUUCAUCUCCUUGGUACUUCAGUCUUAACUCUUUACAAGAUAAUUGAUGCUAAUGAUAUACUGUUAACAUGUUUUCUAAAUUACCUAACUUUGAAUUGAGCUGCCUUUUCACAGUGGGGCUAAGGACCAUGGUUGCCAUGUAGUUUAUGGAUAUUCUUUUUAGGUCACCUAGCUCUCCUGGUUCACUUGGAAAAUAAUGUUUUAAAAAUAUAUUUUUUAUUUAUUUUAUUUUCGAGACUGUUUUUUUUUUCCAUUUUCAUUUUGCUUGAACAUAAGCAAGUCUCUUUUCCUAAAUACCAUUUGGAAUUUAAUACAUGUAUACAAUGUAUUCUGAUCAUAUCCACUCCUCUGGAAAAUAACCUUGGCAAGAAUGAAUUCACAUUUAUCAUUUGAGUCACUUUAAGCUCGUAACACAUCUUCCCUGGGUUAAAACCAUGUUUAAAGAUGCCACAUAUUCUAUGGAAGGAAAUGUGCUUGAGGCCUCAGGCUGGGAACUACCCCGCCAGCACAGUUCAUCAAACCGAAGUCUCAGGAUCUGAAUUUCAGAUUCCUCCAUCCUCUGAGAAAGGGGAAAAGUACCAGCUGACUUGUGAUGAUGAAUGGGGCCUGAAUUGCCAAUAUUGUAUUGAUGCUCCUGACAAAAACUUGACAAGGACAGGUGAGGAGACAGGAACAAGAAUGACCUGCCCUUGGAAUUGUGCUCUGUGCCAUGCUGGCUGUCCUUUAUUCUCAUUUCUGCUGGUGAUGCUGUGGUUGACAGGGAUUUUACUUUUGAGACUUUUCCAUUUUCAUUUUGCUUGAACAUAAGCAAGUCUCUUUUCCUAAAUACCAUUUGAAUUACUCUGGGACUUAACAGCUGAAUAAAACCUGGUGCUCUAGGCAGCCUUUCUCAACUUAUGUGUGGUAAAGGACCGGAGUUUUUAUCUUUAAACAUCUAGUGUAUGGACCUGUUGCCCAUGACAGGUAUGUAAUUGAGACUAUAUUACAACCUGUCAUGCAAAUUUGAAACCACCUAAACUGUCUAGACGCCAUUACAGGUGAAGUCCACUGGUCACAUAAAUUGAAUUUCACAGCAAUAUCAAAUACUAAAAUUUUUAGACAGUCUAUUUCUGAUUCCUAAUGUCACAAGUUGAUUCAGUGAUUAAAACCAAACCCCUUCAUGAACUAAUGCUGCUCUGGCUUUCCUUAGGCUCUCCAUAGGGCCUAGGCAAAUGUGUACUUACACUUGAAAUCUUCUCCCGUGUGUCUGUCACCUGUGGAGAAAAAAACAUGGUCUUUAACAAAACACCUGUUCAUAUAUGGUUAUCUAGCACUUUUUCUAGCUUGCUUCUCUUUCUUGAUAACUAGAAAUAAAUUGCAUAGCUAAACUUUAGUGAAGUGUCUAAGCUGUGCUCACAGUUUACAACAGCUGCCUUUCCAAAAUUCUGUGUGUUCUGGUAGAUGGUUUCAUGAAACAAACAAAUUCAUACAAGAUAUAUAAUGUUUUCAGAAACCCCAGAACAUCCUCUCAAUGCCCCAUAAGCUAAAACUAGGCCAUUGGUUUAUUAUUAAUCUGACUGUAUGUGUGUGGACUGGAGUUAAAGGUGGUUGUGAGUCACCAGAUGUGGAUGCUGGGAACUGAACUCUAGUUCACUAAAAGAGCAUAUAGCUCCUAGCCACUGAGCUUUCCUCUAGCCUGGUAUCACAUUGGUCGACAUGGCAGAUAAUACAGAGAUGUACAAGGAUGCAGGAAGGGGAAUGCAUUGUUUGCUAUAUAACUGAAACAACAACCAUAUUCCUUUGGAAAGCCAAGGCAGUAGGUACUUAACUGUCAGAAGCAGAUUGGUAGCUUUCCCACGGUAACAGCUUGAGUGGAAACUGCUAAUAGCACACAGGUACUCCUAGGAGCAGGACAGAUAGGCAGCCAAGAUCUGUAAAUAGGGCCUUCAAAAUUGAAGUCAAAAGUCCUAAGUUUUGGUCAGUGUCUGAAUCACAAAGAGUUCUAAGACAGACUAUCAAUUCAAAGAACUUGAUUCAGGAAAAAACAUUCAAAGGAGUUGAAAAACAGCAUUAGGAUUUUCUAGAGCAACAAAACCCAUAGAAUGAAUAUAUUAUAGCGGGUUUAUCAGGUGGCUUUUACAUGGCACCAUAGUAGGCCAGCAGUGACUGUUAACCUGAUGACGAGUCUAAGAACUAGGGAGUGUUCAGGUGAGGAGUCCAGACGCCUCAGCCCCAGAGUGGUGUUGGAGACCUACUUAGAAGGUUUCUGGAGAGCCAUGGUCUUAAGUGCAUGUUGGACACUGAAGGAGCUGGGCUCUGGUGGUAGCAACAACAGUGAACAGACAUCUGCAAGAGUCAGGACAGGCAGCCAAUACUGCUAGUGUGGAAGGCGCUGCUGACUGAGGAGGGAGGGCCUUCCUCUCUCAGGCACGAUUACUAACACACCACAAACAACCCCCAUGAAUGACCAUCGUCCGACCAGACCUUUGGGGCCCAGCAUUUAUAUAGCCUCUGAACAGUUGCCAGAGUUCCAAAUGUCCCACAUUCGCAGAAACAAUCUGCAGCUGGCAAAACCAUGCCUCUGCUAGAGCAUGAGGCACAUCACAGUCAGCUGCUGCAGUCAGUCCAAAGCAGCCCCACAUCCCCACACAUUAAAAUUAAAUUAAAACACAUUCUUUUAUUUUUGUACUUUUAAAGAAACCAAAAUUCCAAAUUGUCACUACCCAGACCUAAGCCCAGGGACAGUUGGCCAGUACAAAGUUAAUUCAAUGGUUUUCUUGUGGACUUUGUUUUGAUUUGUUUUGUUUUGCCUUUUGUUUUUGACUUAUGAUCUUUAGACGGUUUUGACUGUUUUUGUGGGGUUUGUGAGUUUCUUGCUCUUUUUGUUUUAGGGGGGAUAUAAAGUUGGGUGGGUAGGCAGGUGAGGAGGAUCUGGAGGAGUUGAGGGAAGGGAAACAUUAAAAUGUAUAAAAAUGUUAAUAAACACCUUAGGGGUUAGUGAAUACCAUGGCUUUCCAGAAACAGUUAGAUCCCAAGGAGCUGAUGUAAUCAAUGGAGCUUUCACUUAAUAUAUUCACAAUAUGAUGGUAUUAUUAGGGGUGACAAAAGGCUGGAGGGAGUGGGGCUUAGCCGGAGGCAGUAGUAGGUCACUACCUAUCCUUACAGCUAUAUAUCUACGUGGCCUCUCCCUUUAUUAUCUUGUUUCUCUGCUUGUUUGCCAAGAAACCAAGGACAGUCUCUACCCUGCCUCCUGCUGUACUGCUCUGCCCAAGCACAUGGAGCCAAGCAACCAAUGGACCAAAUCCUCUGAAAUCAUAAGCCAAAAUAAAUCUUUCCUUCCAACAAAAAAACAAACAACUUAGGUGACUAACCAAAUCCCCAUUUAACCAGCUGGUUAUUAUCACACCAACUAAGUCAUAAGGUUGGGUAGAUUGAAGUGUCCAUUUUAUUAGGUUGAUGUAAAAGAAAUUGUGACUUGGGGCUGUAAAUUUUAAAUCACUAUAGACUCAAACACAUUAACCAAAAUAGGAACCAUUGCAACCAACAUGUCUUCACCAAUAAGAAAUGAGAGUAUUUCUGUAGCAGAACUGAGUGUUUCCCCUUACAACUCCUGCGCCUUUUCUCCCACGUGUACCUCAGUAGGAUUGACUGUGUGUUUAAUUAAGACAACCCAACACAUCCUUGCUUUGUCCUCGUAUUGCACACUGUGCUCAGUCUGUUAGCAAGCUCACCUCUAUGCCACCUGAGAGCACCUCAGUGCAGCCACCUCUGUCACUUGUCCUGCAGUACUAGUUCUGCAGGUCUUUUACAAUCCCUUCCUAACUAACGAGUCUGCCAGCUUCUGUUUUACCUCCCUGAGGGCAGUUAAAGAAACCAGCUAUUGUGAACUUCUUCCGUUGUAAAUCAGGUCAUGCCACCUUUAUUCAGGAUCUUUUAUGACUCCCUAGCAUACACGUAGAAGAAAAUCAGUUCUCUUCUUGGUUCAUAAAUUUGUAAUCGAUCUGAACCUUCUUUUCUCCCACCAUCUGGCUUCCUCUAUAAGUACACUGGACCUUCAGGGUCUUUGCUGAUCCUUCUGGCUGGAACACUUUUUCCCAGUGCUCGAUAAUGCAAGACAUUCCAGGUGUGCCAGGACCAGCUUGUGACCCAGAAGUCACUCAAAGGCUGUAAAGCUCCUUCAGAAAAAUAACCCCAUGGAUGAGAGAAAACACCCCGGAUUUCUACAAGGAUUUCUUCAAGGUUAAAUUACUCUCAGAAAAAUCUCUUCAUUCUGAUGUCUACCCUAGAUAGUGAAAAAAAAAACUGUUUUAUUUUGCUGUCUACUCUGGAUAUAAUGAUUCUAUUAGAUUUUUCUGCUACAAAUAAAUAAGGUGCUCCAGCCUGCUAACUAGGAGUAA